Molecule: non-coding RNA, 769 nt
Organism: Pelobates cultripes (western spadefoot toad)
Lineage: Eukaryota; Metazoa; Chordata; Amphibia; Anura; Pelobatidae
Source: the annotation of a GenBank genome assembly
AAAGUGCUAACCUGCUUACUGUGUUUCACCACAUUGCGGACACAUACUUACAAACAGGUACAAUGUUACAAAGAUAUUUAGCUAUUGUGAAAGCUAAUCUUAUAUUUAUCCAUAACAUAUUUCUAUUCUAUAUUAAAUAUUCAGAAUUCUCCAUGGAUAGCUGGCAUCAUGUUUGUAAAAUGUAUUUUGUGAGGCAUGGGUUUAUUAUUAUUUUUUUUUUUAUAACCUUAGCAUGAACUGAUUGUAGGGACUGGAACAAAUUGAUCUGGAAAAUAAUCGUCUGGAGCUUCAUAGUCCAGAAACUGUGCCUCUAUCGAAUGUGCCUGGGGCAUCUUUACCAGCAAAGCCAGGUAAGGCUCUAGCAGUGGCAUUUCUACCAUUCAGUUACCCAGAGACAGAGAGAUCUCAAUCUGUGCUGACCCUGACCUGAGCAUUUAAAGUGGAACCGUCACCUCCCAGGCGUUUUAUUAUUAUGUUUACUUCUUUCCUAUAUUUAAUAAAGCAUAUACACGCUGUUGCUAUUCACAUGAAAAGUGUUGCCCCCGCCUAACCUCUGGUUAGACAAGUUUGUAAGCCACGUUGUAAGUGAUAGUCAACGUGAAUUUUAAGUGUCUUGUUUUUUUUUUGUUUGUUUUAUUUAUCUUUUGUUUUUGUGUGUUCUCUUGCGGUGUUUUUUGUUUUAUUUUUUACCCUGCACUAAUGCUUUUCUUGUUUCCCUUCAAGGAGCACAAGGAAAGUGCUAACCUGCUUUGAAUGCACCUUUACCAGC